RNAcentral lists this long non-coding RNA (688 nucleotides) under Pelobates cultripes (western spadefoot toad). Lineage: Eukaryota; Metazoa; Chordata; Amphibia; Anura; Pelobatidae. The record is from RNAcentral.
CUACGACCCAGAUACACCUCAUGACUGUUUUGAACAGAUGAAAAUGGAAACAACACAUCUACCAACUGUGCAUGAAGACCCAUUGGUAGAUCCCGAUCUCACCCUGUUUGUGGACGGCUCAAGAUAUGCUGAUGAAGAAAGAAGAUACCAUACAGGAUAUGCCGUAACCACAACAGAUGAAAUUGUCAAAUCAUCAUCUUUACCAUCAACUAUGUCUGCACAAGAAGCUGAAUUGCAAGCCCUGACUUCAGCAUGCAAGAUCUCUGAAGGAAAGCGCGCCAAUAUCUACACGGAUUCAAGAUAUGUACUGGGCGUGGCUCACGACUUCGGAUUAAUUUGGAAAACAAGAGGAUUUCUUACCACCGCCGGUACACCAAUCAAGCACGGUUCCGCGAUCAAGGAGCUGAUGGACGCCCUCCUACUCCCAGAAGAAGUGGCUAUUUUGAAGAUAAAAGCACCUGGGAAGUUGGACUCAGAUGAAGCAAAGGGCAACCAUCUAGCUGAUCAGGCUGCAAAACAAGCUGCACAAGAACCACAGGAAGUGGAAAGAAGAGUGUCCGGAAAUGAAGAAACUCCCAUAUUUACUCUGCAGACUCUUCCAACUGACCUGAAAAUCCUGCUGGAACAACAGGCUACAGUUGCCCCUGAAGAAAUACAGAAGUGGAAACAGAAAGGGGCAGUUCUGAAG